RNAcentral lists this ribosomal RNA (702 nucleotides) under uncultured bacterium. Its description in RNAcentral is "bacterial SSU rRNA". It matches the Rfam family "Bacterial small subunit ribosomal RNA", at positions 140 to 828 of the family's 1533-position model. The record is from RNAcentral.
GGGAUACCACUUGGAAACAGGUGUUAAUUCCGGAUAACAACAAUAGCUGCAUGACUAUUGCUUAAAAGGCGGCGAAAGCUGUCGCUAAAGGAUGGACCCGCGGUGCAUUAGCUAGUUGGUAAGGUAAUGGCUUACCAAGGCGACGAUGCAUAGCCGAGUUGAGAGACUGAUCGGCCACAUUGGGACUGAGACACGGCCCAAACUCCUACGGGAGGCAGCAGUAGGGAAUCUUCCACAAUGGGCGAAAGCCUGAUGGAGCAACGCCGCGUGAGUGAAGAAGGUUUUCGGAUCGUAAAGCUCUGUUGUUGGUGAAGAAGGAUAGAGGUAGUAACUGGCCCCUAUUUGACGGUAAUCAACCAGAAAGUCACGGCUAACUACGUGCCAGCAGCCGCGGUAAUACGUAGGUGGCAAGCGUUGUCCGGAUUUAUUGGGCGUAAAGCGAGCGCAGGCGGAAAGAUAAGUCUGAUGUGAAAGCCCCCGGCUUAACCGAGGAAUUGCAUCGGAAACUGUGUUUCUUGAGUGCAGAAGAGGAGAGUGGAACUCCAUGUGUAGCGGUGGAAUGCGUAGAUAUAUGGAAGAACACCAGUGGCGAAGGCGGCUCUCUGGUCUGUAACUGACGCUGAGGCUCGAAAGCAUGGGUAGCGAACAGGAUUAGAUACCCUGGUAGUCCAUGCCGUAAACGAUGAGUGCUAAGUGUUGGGA